Molecule: long non-coding RNA, 635 nt
Organism: Zingiber officinale
Lineage: Eukaryota; Viridiplantae; Streptophyta; Magnoliopsida; Zingiberales; Zingiberaceae
Exons: 2
Source: RefSeq, a predicted model, not a curated record
GUUAGUCGACGUGUUAAUUUCCGUAACAGCUGCGAAAUUCCUCUUCCUCUCGGCGGAGAAGGGCACGGGCUUCAUGCCGGAGUGGAGGAUUUCAGGACCAAGGUGUGGAGCAUGACGGGCGACCCUGUUGCCUCCCCAAGCACUGGAAGCGCCACACGGCCAUCGCCAUGUUCGGUCAAGCCGUGCACUGAGGAAUUUUCAAUGGAGUCCAUGAUAAUUUGAGCUGUAGCUUUCUUGCCCAAAAUUGGAGGAAUGAUCUAAUCCGCCUGCACAUGUUAUGUUCCUGAACAUACAGCUGGUUAAUUAUCUGUUGUCGGUGCGAAAGCAGGCUUGGCCAAGUAAGGAGUAAACACUGUCUCGAUGAUGAUUCUCACUAAGUUAACAAACAACUGCAGUAAUGUCCAUUUCAUGGUAAUUCUCUCUCACUCUCACUCUCACUCUCACUCUCUCUCAAGAUUUCAAGGUACUGUUAUGGCCACUGUUUGUCCCAUCGCCAAGGACAAUCAUCAUAGGGUGCAGAACAAGCCUCUAACCUAAAGAUCCCAUGCCAAAUGAAACACCUCCUUCUCCUUAUCAAACAUAAACAUAAUUGUUUUAUCUAUACUGUUUUUCUAGUUAAAAGAUGUUUUUUGUUA